RNAcentral lists this ribosomal RNA (312 nucleotides) under Triticum aestivum (bread wheat). RNAcentral describes it as "partial small subunit ribosomal RNA". The record is from RNAcentral. Lineage: Eukaryota; Viridiplantae; Streptophyta; Magnoliopsida; Poales; Poaceae.
AUGCACCAGGGCCGCCUUCGCCCUCCGCCUCCUCCAAAAGCGCGCGCUCGCCGCGGGCGCUGGCGGUGGCGCGGCGGUCCUCGCUCGCGGGUGCGCGGGUGCGCGGAGGCGUCGGGGAUCGAGGGAGCUCUCCUCCCUAGCAGCUGGAGGCGCUCGGGAUCGAGCGAGUGGGCGAGGGGAUCGGGGCCCCUGGUGGUUGCCUGCUUGGCGAUUGCACGAGAUGCUGCUCGGGCGUGGGCUGGCCGACUCGAUCUCCUCGACCCAGGGCCCCGUGCUCGUCAGCGCCUGCCCCAUCGCGCACGACUUCUCUGA